Molecule: ribosomal RNA, 301 nt
Filed under: Spodoptera frugiperda (fall armyworm)
Lineage: Eukaryota; Metazoa; Arthropoda; Insecta; Lepidoptera; Noctuidae
Description: partial small subunit ribosomal RNA
Source: RNAcentral
AAACUAGGAUUAGAUACCCUAUUAUUAAAAUUUAAAUUGAAAAUACUAAAAUAGUAGAUAAUUAUUUAUUGAAACUUAAAUAAUUUGGCGGUAUUUUAGUUCAUUUAGAGGAAUCUGUUUAAUAAUUGAUAAUCCACGAAUAAAUUUACUUAAUUUUUUAUUUUGUAUAUCGUUGUUAAAAAAAUAUUUUUUAAUAAUAAUAAUAUUUAAAAAUUUUGAUUAAAAAUUAAAUCAGAUCAAGAUGCAGAUUAUAAUUAAGAAUAUAAUGGAUUACAAUAAAUUUAUUUAGAUGAAUAUUAAU